UCAGUUCAUAUGGGAUGGGACCUCCUGAACCCUUUUAGACAGGGCCGGCGCCACCUGCUGUGACAACUCUUGAGACGACUAGAAAACCAGAUAGAAAGAGACAGCAUGGAUGAAUAAGUCACAGCUGGCCAUGCUCCUGCAUCAGCUCUACUCCUUUUCUGCCUAGUGAAUCUGGACAAGAAAAUUAAAGCCUUCAGUUGGAAUGAUGUCAGCCCUACUUGGGAGUAGGGAGAAGAAGGCAGCUCCAGUGAGCCCUUGUAGCAGAAGAAUGUCAAGAUAGUGUUCUGCCCAGCACCAGAGUGGAAUAUGUCAGACCACUCGCAGCACUGCUGUUUGAUCUUAUCGGGCUGCUGCGGAGGUGAAGCUUAAAUGCCUGGAGAGAAUUAAACAAGCCUUAUUGACUUCCCACAGAGAAGCCUGUUCAGCUAGGUACCAUGAGGUUGAGAGAUUAACACUGCAGAAUGGAAACAAAGAACAUUGAUGAAGCACUUGGGUGAACUCGGGUAAGACAUUUUCUCCAAUCAAGUUAUCAAAGCCGAAUUCCUGUUAGUCCUUUUGGAACUCUUUUUGCUUAUGAAGCAGAUAUGGAUUGGAGGGCACACUGGUCCCUAUUGUUGUUCUGCAGGCUUGCUUGUGUUAGGUCAGCAUAUUAGUUCCCCUACCUCUGUAAAGACUGAGAACCACAUUUGGAAUCAGGACAGGAAGUACACCCCCUCCUUAAACCCUUUACUUUCUGGAGAAGUCACGGGUGGUGAAGAUGUUUCCUGCCAUUCUUUACAGAAGCAAGAGUCGCUUUAGGGUUGUUUCAUUAUCAGUGGAGUAGUUGUCCCGUGGACCUCUGCCCUUGAAGAGUGAAAGAGCAGUCAAGACAGAGCCCACUAGCCUCACGUCGUCACAGUUGCAAGCAAGCAAACCUGUCAUCUUCCUGUAUUAUCUACAAAUGGUGUUUGUUUCCUUUGACGUAUAUUCUAACACUUGGGGCAGGAGGGAUUUCUCGAAAAAACAAUAUUGUUGAGUAUACCAAUUCCCUGCCCCCAGCCAUCCUUUCUGUUUCCUUUUCAAGGCUCCAGGAAUUGCUAAAUGGCAUAUCCUGGACAACCAACACUCUUCAGCUAAAAAUACCAGAGGGUGAGCUUAUCUCGAGCAAUGCUUCCUCUCCAGGGGGUUCAUAGACAUUAUCUCAUUUAUUCUUAAAAACACCCUGUGAGGUAGGGCAUGGCCAAAGAACUGGAUCCCAGAAAGGUAAGGAAGCUUUAAGACAAAAGGUCACUGGCAGAGGUUCGAUUCUGAAGCCCGGCAGAACAGCUCAGAUGUGUAACUUUCAAGCUGUAAAAUCUACUCACCAGGCAUCAAUAACUUGACUGCAGGAGCCCAGAGACCCCCUUAUUAAAUAGAUAUAGAUAUAGGAGAUAGAGAUAGAUAGAGAUAGAGAUAGAGAUAGAGAUAGAGAUAGAGAUAGAGAUAGAGAUAGAGAUAGAGAUAGAGAUAGAGAUAGAGAUAGAGAUAUAUAACAAGACUCCUGGCAUACAGGAAAAGACAGAGCUUAGCGGAAAUUGGAUCCCCAAAGCUACUUCUUCAGGGUAAUGAUGAUUUCUUUGUUAUCUAUAACAAACUGGAGAAGAACAUUGAUCAUCUUUUCAAAUUGUCCCAUUGCCCUCCUAACCUCAUCUGCUAACAUGGCUUCAUGUCCCACCUACACAAACUGGAACAACUGGCUUAGUUGUCUCAGAGAAACAAGAUAUAUAUAUAUAUAUAUAUAUAUAUAUAUAUAUAUAUAUAUAUAUAUAUAUAUAUAUAUAUAUAUAUAUAUAUAUAUAUAUCCCUUCUAGAAGUCAGACAUGACUUGCUUAUACAUACUUCAAAAACAGAUUCCAUAAUCAACAAAAUACAUUGUUCUGACAUUCUAUAUAUUGUCUUAUAUUCCUUUCCUCAAGACUUGGUCCCAUGCCCAAACCCGAGAGUCAUGGCAGCUUCUAGGUCCUCUUAGGAGCAUACGCAAAUCCUGUUACUGACAUAUCUCCUCUAUGCCCCUCAUGACUAAUUUUUUUCCCACCCAUACUCAUGCCCAAGGAGAAUGAGCUUGGGAGCAUGAACUACCGAGCUCCCUCCUCUCUGCCUGCUAGCUGAUUUAGCAGGAGGUUAAGGGGAGACAAGAGUAUGUUGUUAGUUUUACCUUAUUUCUUCCCUGUAGGGUGACUAUGACUGAGUCCUGCCCACAAGGCCAGCUCCUCCUUCAAACACUGCUCUUUGUCUGGGUUUUUAGUAAGCAUCACUUCCUGAUGGCCACCAGCCUGGAAGUUUUAAAGGAUCCUCCUGCUAAUGUUCCCAAUUCUUUUGUCGUCCCUAUUAUAUGUAUUAAAGCCACAACACAUUCUGUAAAUAGUUCCUUCAUAAACUUGUUACAGCUCCUAGAUAGAAUGGAUUCCAUUGGUCCUAGUUUGUUUUUUUUUUGAUCUUGUAAUAAAACCAUGAUCAAAU
This 2478-nucleotide long non-coding RNA is filed under the name Mus musculus (house mouse). RNAcentral's name for it is "predicted gene 27162". The record is from RNAcentral. Lineage: Eukaryota; Metazoa; Chordata; Mammalia; Rodentia; Muridae.